CCCUGCCCACGUGCGCUAGGCUGCACCCAACGGAAGCGCAGGGAAAGCCCGGUGGGAAUCCGGCACUGUCGCGCAACGGUAACCCCACCCGCGGGGAAGUCCGAACGCCUGCCCCGUGAGGCCCGCCACC
This 130-nucleotide non-coding RNA is filed under the name Deinococcus maricopensis. The record is from RNAcentral. Lineage: Bacteria; Thermotogati; Deinococcota; Deinococci; Deinococcales; Deinococcaceae.